This 422-nucleotide transfer-messenger RNA is filed under the name Patescibacteria group. RNAcentral's name for it is "CG2-30-36-39 sp018657765 Standard tmRNA". It matches the Rfam family "transfer-messenger RNA". Rfam says of the family: Bacterial tmRNA, also known as 10Sa RNA or SsrA, is named for its dual tRNA and mRNA-like properties. RNAcentral also lists the same sequence under 1 other name. The record is from RNAcentral.
GGGGAUGUAUAGCAUCGACGUGACCGCUCUUUACCAAUUGCAGACCAUCUUUGACUAAAAGAUGUAAAACAGAGUCAAAACACAACUGCAAAUUCUAUUCGCAGUACAGUUGCAGGUAUCUUGGAUACAUCUCGUGAAGCUUUAGCUUCUAUGGGUUCCAUGUUUACCCCAGCUCCAGCUCAGCUUUUAGCUUAACUGGCAUUUAUAGAGCCUCUCUCAUUGAUGGAACUUUAUAGGUGGAAACACAAUCAAUGUACAAAAGAAUAUUUUUGCACGGUAUUCUUCCAAGCAUUUGUGCAGGUUUUUUGGGAAUGGUUUGAAAAUAUUUCCACUCAAAAAACAACCAAAAAUUUUAUAUGUCUGUAGAAAUUAGUAGAAAUGUGAGUUUACGGACGGGGGUUCACUGCCCCCCAUCUCCACAU